Molecule: long non-coding RNA, 968 nt
Organism: Betta splendens (Siamese fighting fish)
Lineage: Eukaryota; Metazoa; Chordata; Actinopteri; Anabantiformes; Osphronemidae
Exons: 3
Source: RefSeq, a predicted model, not a curated record
AUCAUGCAAAAUCCACUUUUUAGACAUUUUGGAGCGUCCCUAUGACUCUAUGGGUCACAUAUACACACACUGAGCACGGUAGAAAUGCAUUUCCUGCUUUUUUCACAUUUUGAAAACGUAAAUUUUCUCACCCAAUGAAAACAGACCACGACCUACUCUGAGGCCGUGUCCCAGUUGUCGUCACACUGGUUGAAAGUUCUCCUUGCAAAUCCUGAACCACCACCCCCACAAUGAUCCCGAACCAAAACUGGACUUCCGCCAUUUCCCCCCUCUCACUCACCGUGAACAGACCAGCACGGCAGCGCCCAAGUCCUCCCAUAGAAAUAGUUCGGUUCUUGGGUGUUCUAACCAACACCAAAGUCUAUUCACUUUAACAAGGGAUCAACAAGUGAGGAUUUGUGGGUCACUUUUAUUUUUAACGGACCGGUGCCAGAAACACUGCCUCAGCAUUUAUACGUAUGUGCAUUUCAAACGAGGGUGCGUACAAUGCUGGAUUUGUUUCACGGCUCCUGUUGGAAAAAAAGGACCUAUUCCUAAAGUCCGUCAUCCACUCACUGAAGAGGGCAAAUCCCAGUUGCCCGCAUGCAAGGAGGCUGUCAAACAGAGAAAUCACUGCAGACUGUUGGUACACAGACAUCUGCUGCCCAGCUCAGGAGUGAAGUACCUUUUGUUUUGAUGAGGUGAUGGUGAGGACAGCCACAGCUUCCAUCUGGUAGAGGACUGCUUCCGCUCAGUCUUCCAAAUAGUGAUGAGAACAAGGAUCACCACAUCUCCCUGUUUACCCUACUUUCAUGCAUUUCGUCUGCAAGGCCCUGCAAAAGCUUCUCCUUCGUCCUCAAACCCCCAGACUUCUUAAUUAACUCAGUAACCUAUACAUUGCACAUUGGAGUGUGAAGGUAACAGUUUGUUCUAGCUUUGGAGUAGUGGUGUAUUUUUUUGGUUUACAAUAAAGUUGGCUUUAACUAUUA